GAUGAACGCUGGCGGCGUGCCUAAUACAUGCCAGUCGAGCGAACAGACGAGGAGCUUGCUCCUCUGACGUUAGCGGCGGACGGGUGAGUAACACGUGGAUAACCUACCUAUAAGACUGGGAUAACUUCGGGAAACCGGAGCUAAUACCGGAUAAUAUAUUGAACCGCGUGGUUCAAUAGUGAAAGACGGUUUUGCUGUCACUUAUAGAUGGAUCCGCGCCGCAUUAGCUAGUUGGUAAGGUAACGGCUUACCAAGGCAACGAUGCGUAGCCGACCUGAGAGGAUGAUCGGCCACACUGGAACUGAGACACGGUCCAGACUCCUACGGGAGGCAGCAGUAGGGAAUCUUCCGCAAUGGGCGAAAGCCUGUCGGAGCAACGCCGCGUGAGUGAUGAAGGUCUUCGGAUCGUAAAACUCUGUUAUUAGGGAAGAACAAAUGUGUAAGUAACUAUGCACGUCUUGACGGUACCUAAUCAGAAAGCCACGGCUAACUACGUG
Molecule: ribosomal RNA, 497 nt
Filed under: uncultured bacterium
Lineage: Bacteria
Description: partial 16S ribosomal RNA
Rfam family: Bacterial small subunit ribosomal RNA
Source: RNAcentral